CCUCACCCCCUUAAAACUAUCCCAAUCGACCCCCCCAAACCGUGAAGACCCCUCCCCAUUCUCUCAUCUCUCUCAAACUUUAACCAGCUGCCCCUAAACCACCCCAACUCCCUGACCAGCGGCCACCACCAUAACUCCUCCAAAUCUACCCAAAUUCACACCCCGUAAUCCCCUCCUCCCCCUCAUCUCAUAUCUCAUUUUAGUAUCUUUUAAAACAUCCUAGAACUCCCUAAGUUUUAGAUCUAUAAUGUCCAGAAAUGUCAAGCUUCUUUUUCUUCAAAUUUUCCGUUGAUUUUAGCAUGUUUUGAGUUAAAACUAACAUUAGCUAAUGGUUUUUGUAAUAUGGGGGUCUGGAAGGGCGAUACAGGAAUAAAAAUUGAGGGAAUAUUAUCUAUAACCGAUUGAGAACAUUCUAGAAAUAGGAUAAGGGAUCAAGAUACAAUGAAAUUAGAAUUUAGGUCAGAUUUUGGGUAAAAUAGGCCAAUAUGAAAGGUAAAAAGGGUUAAAUAAUAUAUAGGAAAUAUCUGGAUAAGACAACUGUCCUAACAGUUGUCCAUUUCUGUUAGAAAGGAUUCUUUUUCCUUGAAAUUUUGGAGGAGCACAUGCGUUCUUCUCAUCUCUUAUUUAGGAAGAACUUCCUCUUCAUUUUUGGAGCACGGGAAAUAGACUCUAAAAAACUCUCAAAAAAUAAAAUCCAGCUGAAUUCUCGACUGACUCUUUCUGGGAAAACAUUUUUCUUCUUUUCGAUUUUCUGAUUUCUCUCUUUGAGUCAUGGUUUGAUAAUGAAGCUGUAUUGAUGAUUACUGCUGCUCCCUGCUGCUGAGUCCAUCACUCUUUGCUGAUUUCUAAACACAUUUUUUUUGUUGCUUGCUGUAUCAGGUACUACCUUGAAACCUUGAGCUGCAAGUUAAAUGUGAAGAUAUGAAUAUUUUUGGGAUUAAUACAACCAUGUCAUUUUUAGUAAAUAACUCUUAUGUUUUAUUAACUCAUGUAAUUCUUUCCUUGGUUAGCUAAUAUCAUGUGUUGUCUUUUACUAGUAGAUGAAGAUUUGUGUUUGGGACAUAAGAUUCAUGUAAUUAUGGCCUCUUUCUUCCUCUUCAUCUUCUCUGCAAUCUUGUUUAAUGUUUGAGGCGUGUACAACCAUUUCAUUCAGCCUUGUUUGAAUUGCAAUAUGAAAUGAAAUUAUUGAGUGUGUACCUGUAACAUUUCUUUAAUUUUAUUUUUGGUUUUGUUAAAUUUUAAGUGAAAGUUUGUUGUUGACUUAGGUUCCCUUGUUCUGUUAAAAUUUUGGAAUUGUUAUUUUGGAUUCAAAUCCAACUUAGAUAAGUUUAAAUUUGCCCGAAAAUUCUGUCUCUGUUUAAUAUUUGAAGUCAUGAGAGCAUUAAAUCACUUUGCUAAAUGGAGUUUAGCUUUUCUUUUGAAGACCUGUUUUAGCCCAUUGCAUUUAUGUUCAGCUAGCAUAUGAUAUUCAAUUAAGUGUUUUUGAGUUGGUUUAACAAAAGUUAAGUUUAAAUCCUUAAAGAUCGGAACUGGAUCAAAUGUUAUGGGUCUCAACUUAGGCCCAAGGACCCCUCACAUGUUUGGAUUAGAGUCCAGAUUUGUCGCCUAACCCCUAUCUGCAAAAAACAUGCGAUGUUAAUCAGUUAUUCCUCAGAUUUUUAUAGACUAGGAUCAUGAUUUGGGGAUUUGGAUUUCCUUAUGUCACCAUGUGAUAAAUUUGUUAAUUUGAUUCCAUGCUCAAUGUUGUAUUUUCGGAAUUGAUGUUAAUUUGUGCAUAAAGAGCGAAUUGAGCCAGGCUUCAUAAAUGGCCCAAAUAGGGUUGUGCAUAUAAGUCUGGAUACUUUCAAGAUUUGGGCCCUAGAAUUUGACCCAAAAUAAUUCAUAUGGACUUAAGGUGGCUAGUUUUUGUGUCCCAAUUGUUCAACAAGUUGGUUAAAAGGACCAACGACAUUUCCAGGCUUCUUGUUGUAAUCAGUAGUAAAACCAAACUCGAACAUAUAGCGUCAGGUCCAAGAAUGCUUAGCGAUAACAAUUUGUCUUUCCAUCAUAAUUAAGCAAACCCAACGAGCCUUAAGUUUGGUCCUUGAUUUCAGACAGAGACCUUAUACCAGUAUUAAGGAAUAAAAUAAUGAUACUCAUAGCUUGCUUUAGGCGCGUUCAAUAUACCAUCGUGGUUGUGUACACGUUCGCGUGACAUAAUUACGGUCUUAAAAACAAAAUCGGGAUAUGCGUUCGUGCAACUUUGACUAAACAUUCUUAAUAAUAAUAAAACGUUAUUAAUUGUGGACACGUUCGCGUGACAUGAUUUGACGCGCCAAACAAAUGGGUACACGUACGCGUGACCUGUUUCAAGAUAAUUUCUUAACUAAAAGAGGUAAAUGCACAUAGGUUCUAAAAUAAGUAAUUAAAUAAUUUGAUUAAGCCAAGUAUAAUCAAAGCGACCGUGCUAAAACCACGGAACCCAGAAAUGUCUAACACCUUCUCCCGGAUUAAUAGAAUUCCUUACUCGGAUUUCUGUGUUCGCAGACUGUAAAUAGAGUCAACUUCCUCGAUUCGGGAUUUUAAACCAGUGACUUGGGAUACCAAUACUUAUUCCAAGUGGCGACUCUGAUUUAAAUAUUAAUAAUUCCGUUUCGAUUAUCACUUAAAUUGGAAAAAACUCCCUUAUACCCCUUACGGGUAUAGGAAAAAAAAGGUGUGACACACACACACACACACACACACAUAUAUAUAAAUAUAUACGCGUAUAUAACGUCGUCUGAGUCAUAUUUCAGCCACUGUAGGCAACAUCAUCAUUGUAUACCAGCUGAUCAGGUGGUGGUGCGUAUAUAACACCAUAAUCUUUCCCAUAUCACAUAUACACAUAUAUACGCAUAUAUAACGCCAUCUAGUCAUGGGUCAACCUGCAUGUAUAAAUGCAUGGAAUGCGUUAAUAAAAUCUCUCGGUACGUCAUAAAACUAUUAUGUCUCUGAUUAAUAUCAUGAAAUAAAUUUUACCAACUUACGUAUUUUUGAAACCCAUGAACAUAUGAUAGAAUAAUAAACAUAAAUAAUUUUUCACUUUGGCAAUCCUCCCGGACAUUCAUGAUCUUUCCAAAAAAGAUCCAUCUUUCAAAGUGUUUAAGAAUGUUCUAAUUUACUACCUUUAUGGAAGAAAAAUAUUAUAUAAGCUAUAAAAAUUGCAGUGCUCAAUGCAGCUAAAUCUAUUUCCUUCUUUGUCCUCCUUAGAUUUAAUAAAGGACUUAUCACUAUAUAUUAAAUACUUUUUCCUCAGUCUUUCAGAAUUGCUUUGUUAAAAGUAUAAAGUCAUAAAUUUUCAGAUAUUGAACAUACUCGGACAACUUGCCGCUUCCAUUCCCAUAACAUCAAUUGCCAAUUUAAAUUGAAUAUCCUGCUAGUAAGGCGCA
RNAcentral lists this long non-coding RNA (3407 nucleotides) under Nicotiana tabacum (common tobacco). Its description in RNAcentral is "long non-coding RNA (NTAB_LNC011648)". The record is from RNAcentral. Lineage: Eukaryota; Viridiplantae; Streptophyta; Magnoliopsida; Solanales; Solanaceae.